UUGUUAGGCCUCCUACUUCUGAACAAUCUGGCAUUCCAUCUGCAUUCCCUGUGACACCAACUUCUCCAAGAAUCAAUUCACCUAGAGAUGCAUCUCCUCGGACUUCUUAUAGGGCUACAUCUCCUGGUGCCACUUCUCCAAGGAUCGCCUCUCCGAGGGCCGCUUCUCCAAGGGUCAUCUCUUCUAAGGCAGCUUCUCCAAAGGUUAGCCCUCCCAAGGAAGCUUCUCCAAAGGCUACCUCUCCGAGGGCAGCUUCUCCAAAGGCUACCUCUCCCAGGGCAGCUUCUCCAAAGGUUACCUCUCCCAGGGAAGCUUCUCCAAAGGCUGCCUCUGCUAGUGCUCCUUCCCUAAAGGCUCUCUCUCCUAGGGAAGCUUCUCCAAAGGCUACCUCUGCUAGUGCUCCUUCCCCAAAGGCUACUGCUCCUAGGGAGGCUUCUCCAAGGGUCUCUUCUCCUAGAUCUACUUAUCCAGAGCUGAGUAGGAACCAUAAUGAGAUUAGCUAUGCUAACGGACCAGAACCAACUUUGACGCUCCAGCUUUCAGCAACCAAGAUACAGGCAGCCUACAGAAGUUACAUGGUAAGAUUCAAGAUAACUCCUUCAUCAAUGUUUUGCUGAAAAUAGCCUUUAAGAAUACUACUUGAUUUUGUGAGUUGGCCAGAUCUUGAGUGAAAAGUUAUAGGUCAUGUUAUUGCGCACUCAUGAUAUAUUGGUAACAAUUAUGUCAUUGUUGAAACAACUUAAUAGUCUCCCAAGUAAUCAUUUCCAUGUCUGCUGCAACUAUUUGUUAUUGCCAAAGGCGAGCAUCAAGCUGAGAGAGUAAAUCAAUUAUGUGAAAAGCUUUAUGCUUUGUUAAAGACUUAUGGCUCUCUUAGUCUAAAAUUUAGGUGCUUUUUAUGUGGUGAAACUCCCUGCUGUGUGUUAGAGAACUGGUAACAGGUAAACAAAUUCUUUACCCUUCGAUUAAAGCUCUGGAUGAGUUCAUUCAGUGGUCUCAGGGUUCAUUUCUACCUAAGAAGUUUGUUUCUACCACAAUCAGGAUCUUGUUAUUGCAUUUUCACUUGAUCUGUAGAAAUGCUUUGACCUUUUAUCAUUCAUAUUUUCCUUAUGAUAGUUUUACCUGAGAAUUUAAUCUUCACGAUUCCUUCUUAAAUGCUGAGCUUCCUCAAUAUUAUACCUUUCACUAUUUGUUUUAGUAGAUUGACUGUGGAACAGGUUAUAUUUAACUGAUUAUUUAAAAGGAGGUCACUUUCCUUGUCUGAGAACUCCAUUUUUCUUUUCGAAAUUUUGACAUAAAUUAAGUGACUUGCAGAUUAUCUGAAACAGGAUAGGAAAAAACAGAGAUUAGAACUUUUGUAUAAGUAAUUGGGACCCCCAAUCUUUUCUUAUGCUGUUUUCAAGAAACCCAUUUCCAGUCCUAAUGACUUUACUGCUAGAGUAGUUUUCCUCACUGUCUUAAUUAUACUCUUGAACCAUGGAAACUAUGACUCCUGGACUCCGUAGGACCUGAAUUCUUAAUUCUUGAUUUUAAAAAAACAUGGAAAUACAAAGUCUGCAUUCAUCUGUCAUAAGCAUCUUGAAAAUUCGAGUAAUUUUGUUCUUAUCAACUUGUUAGAAAAACUUCUUAUGUCAAAGAAAACAAUAUAGGAUCUUAUGUUAUCAUUGUUAUUUCCCUUGUCGUGGUUCAGUAGGAGUGAAUAGAAGUUCAUUGCAUCAUAUAAAGUUUUUUUUUUUUUUUUUUUUUUUUUUUUUAAAAAAGAACCAUUAGAGUCCUUUUCCAUUUUCUCCCCUUUCUAGAGCAGGUCAUUGAUGGGACACGAAUGUUUGGUUCCAAGAGAGUCUAUCAAUUGCUAACAAGUGUUACAUAUCCUAUGUGAAUGAACUUUGUUUUCACAGGCAAGGAGGGGUUUCAAAUCUUUGAGUGGUUUAGCAAGACUUCAAGGAGUGGUCAGAAGCAGAAGUGUAAAGCGGCAGACAGUAAAUGCCAUGAAACAAAUGCAACUUCUAGGUAGGGUUCAAAUGCAAAUUCAGUCAAGGAGGAGUCAGAUGUUCCAGGCACUCCAUAGUCAAGCUUACAUGAAUGAUAAAGAAGCUGAGAGCACUCUAAGCAAAUGGACUCAGCUGGUAAGUUUAAGCUGCUACAUAUCUUGUGGUAUUCACCUAUUUAGUGGUAUAGGCCGAUGCCAUAUUUUGGAGGCACUGUUCGCCUACAUUCUUUAGUAGAUUUAAUUUGGGUCAUUUAAAUUGGGUAGUUUUCCUCAUUAUUGGUGCUUUGAUUAUCUUGUGAAAGAUUUGAUGGAUUCUUCCACUGGUCAAAGAUGGUACGCAGCUUCUUCAACAAUUCCAAUUUAGGUUCUAGGAAUUCAUUUUUGUACAUAUAUUGUAGUGUAAGGAUAUGAGAGUUGUCGAACAAAAGUUAUUUUCGUCUUCGAACAUAUUUUGAAUUACGUCUGAUGUUAAAAAGGAAAUUUUGUUUUAGACUGAAGCAGGUAACCAUGAUGAUUGGAAUAAUAGUAUGCUAACUAAAGAUGAGGUAGAAGCAAGGCGGCGGGAAAAAGUGGAGGCAGUCAUCAAGAGGGAGAGAGCAAUGAGCUAUGCAUGUUCUCACCAGGUACAUUAGACUUAUGUUCUUAAGCAUGUAAAAUCUAUGGUAACCAUUGCGUAAAUGUACUUUGAUAAUGCAGUAAUGGAUCAUUCUGUUUCAUGCUUAUUGUUGACACCCAAUUUUGGCCUAACAUUUUAAAGAUUCAUACCUUUUAAGUUUUAUUAAUUCAAUAGUACAAAAUACAUUUUUUAUAAUUUUAAAUAAGUUUAUCGAUUCUUAUCCUUAUUUCUCAAAAUUUUAGAUUUUUAUGAGUUAGUUUUUUAAUUACAUUUUUUUUUGUAACAAUCAAUUGAAUAUGUUAUGAAUAUUGUGUCAUUGAUUAAAUCAUUAUUUUAUGGUAAAUUGCAUUUUUGUUUACAUGCCAUUCAUUUUAUUCAUUACGUUUGUUAAAAUUCAUUUUUUAUUUGUUACUUUUAUUUAUAUUCAUUUUGAUGUCUUUAGCGCAGUCUAGAAAUACAGUUAAAUACAUAAAAUAUUUGAAUACACAGAUAUUUUAUUAGCUAGUGGUUUUAGCCCACGACUUUAAGAUAAUGGUAUUGUACUAAGGCAGUUUUCAAUUUUCUAUUUAAACAAUUUCUUGGUAAUUAAGUUAGUGGUGGUGGAUAAGAUUAUAGAUAAUGGGUGUAAUUUUUAGAUUUUUUAGUCUUUAAGAAAUUCUUUUAGUGUUCAUAUUUUUUCAGUAAACUUUUCGCCGGAGCUCCGCCUAGUCCACGACCAAAAGACCCCAACCCAUUUAGCUUUUUCCUUGUUAUUUUCGGAUCUAACCGGAGGUUCCAACUCUUGCAAAACCCCAUUUGGUUUUUAUCUUUUUUGUUUCUCUAACAAACACACCCCACAGGUUAAACUCUUCUUCUUCCUCACUGUUAUCCCUCUUCUCCGGUGAAACCCAUGAGCUCCGACCACCAUUGCUCUACCCACGAGCUACUAGUGAUACCAUACAACCACCAAAACGAAGUAAACCAGAACCACAACCCCACCUUUCUCUCCAUUUCUUCCUCCACGUCGGAAGUCACCAAACACCCCCUUUCUUCCACCUGAAAUCGGGCGAGUUCACACCAGAGAAUUCUGUUUACAUCCCUACUUUAUUCAUAUAAGGAGAAACAUCGUGGUGACUCAAAAAAUAAUCAAUUAAUUCAAUUUAAAAGAAUUUUAAGAAAAAACGAAUUUUAAGGGAGUCGCCACCUAAUUUUAGGAAAACUAGGAAAUCAAUUAAAUGAUCUACGAAACCAAUAGAUUCUAGGUAAGGGUUCAAGUAAUUCUGAAGGAAAGGUGUUAAGGCAUUCUUCGAAAUCCACAAUUGUGGGUCCCGACUCCCGACUGAAUUCAUUUUUUCAAAUUGAGGAGGAGAUAACAAUAAUAUACAACUAUAAUAAAAAUGCAAUAUACACAAAUAAUAAAAUAAAACUAUAAUAUGAUAAAUGACCUAAGCUUGCCUAACGUCAAUUAUACAAAAUAAUGAAUAAAUAAUAUAAUUCGAACUUUGUUCGAAUAGCUUCAAUGGGAAGCAACUCUGGGUACCUAUAAAGAUAAUGAAUAAUAAAAGAAUUUAAAAUGUUACCUUCUCAAAAAAAAAAAAAAAAAAAAAUAAUUCUAAAUUACACCCCCAAAUCUGAAAAUCUUAUUCACCACCACUAACUUAAUGAUCAAGAAAUUAUUUAAAUAGAAAAUUGAAAACCGUCUUAGUACAAUACCACUAUCUUAAAACCGUGGGCUAAAACCACCGGUUAUAAAAUAUCCGUGUAUGCAAUUUUAUCCGUAUUUGAAUGUAUCUCUAGACUGCGCUAAAACAUAAAAAAUGAAUAUUAAUAAAAGUAACAAAUAAAAUAAAUAUUAAUAGAUGUGACAAAUAAAAAAUGCAAUUUUAUAAAAUUAAUGAUUCAAUCAAAGAUACGAUGUUCACAACAUAUUCAAUUGAUUGUGACAAAAAAUGAUGUAAUUAAAAUUAACUCAUAAAAAAUCCUGAAAUUUUGAGAAAUAAGGAUAAAUAUCUAUAAACUUAUUUAAAAUUAUAAAAAUGUAUUUGAACAAUAAAUAAAUAAAACUUAAAAGUUACGAAUUUUGAAAAUGUUAAGCCAAAAUUGGGUGUCAACACUUAUCACUUCCUUUAUGUUGUACCAAUCCUGCUAUUAAGUGCAUCAUAACAAUUUCUAUCUGCUUACGGCCAAGUUAUUGAAAUAUUUCUUUAGUGGUUCUCUUUCUUACCAAAUCUUUUAUCUAAUGUGAAUCCUGGUACUAAGUACAUCAUAAUGAUCUCUCUGUUUGUUGCUUUUGACUAAUCUUUCAAAGAUUAUCAAAUUAAGAUGCACUUGUGCAAAUUACCACAAAUGUCAAAACUUUCAAUUUUCUUGUUUCAACUUCCCAUUAGUGAUUCUGGCAAUCCGUUAAAGGUAAACACAUAAUAUCUUUCAAAGAUUAUCAUUAUUUGUUAUUCUUGGCCAAGACAUGUUGACAAACUCAAUACCUCCGUUAACCCUAUAUAUGGCUUACCAUGUUGCAUACCUCUUUUUAACAGUUGUGGAGAAGCAACCCCAAAUCAGCUACGGACAUCCGAACCAGUGGAAUUCCUUGGUGGUGGAACUGGUUGAACCACCAGCUACUUCCAGGAAAUGAUUCCGAGAGCCAAUCUGCUGUAAAAGACGUCCAUUCAACACCAUCAAGGGCAAUUUCGGAACACAA
Molecule: long non-coding RNA, 5280 nt
Filed under: Solanum tuberosum (potato)
Lineage: Eukaryota; Viridiplantae; Streptophyta; Magnoliopsida; Solanales; Solanaceae
Description: long non-coding RNA (STUB_LNC006549)
Source: RNAcentral